AACCUAACUCAAGAUUGAUAAAAUUAUAAUUCAACAAACAAUCCAGGAUCCAAUCACACAUUUGAGGUCACUAAGAAAAAUAUUCAAGUCAUUCACCUCUACAAUCCACAAUUCACAAAACCUGUGCAGUUUAUAAUCAUACAUCAUGUCACUAGAUGAUUCUUUAAAAUCCAAAAGCAACUUAACUAAACCAUAACUAUAUCAUAAAUCCAUAAGCGCGGUAAUUAAUGCAAUCACAAAACCAACAUGUACUACAUGUUUAUAUCAGUACACAGUUUAAACUUAACAUUUCCAAAAUCCUGAAGUAAGAGGUACUUUUCAAAUAUUUACAAGAUACAUCAAUCUAGAUUUGUCAUUGAUAUUCCAUUACACCCAAAAAGAACUUAUACAACAUCAACCUAUCAAGUACAAAAUAUUUGCCCCAAAAUCUUCUAGCCUUCCACUACCUCAACCCAAUUUACAUAUUUUAGUGAGCGAUAAGCUAUCAUGAAAAAUUUAUAUAGCAACGGGGUGAGCAUAUAAAGCUCAGCAAAUGACUAACAUAUCCAUAGCAAAG
Molecule: long non-coding RNA, 556 nt
Filed under: Musa acuminata (dwarf banana)
Lineage: Eukaryota; Viridiplantae; Streptophyta; Magnoliopsida; Zingiberales; Musaceae
Description: long non-coding RNA (MACU_LNC005210)
Source: RNAcentral